RNAcentral lists this ribosomal RNA (228 nucleotides) under uncultured bacterium. RNAcentral describes it as "partial 16S ribosomal RNA". It matches the Rfam family "Bacterial small subunit ribosomal RNA", at positions 328 to 545 of the family's 1533-position model. The record is from RNAcentral.
ACGCUCGACACCUACGGGAGCAGCAGUAGGGAAUCUUCCACAAUGGGCGCAAGCCUGAUGGAGCAACACCGCGUGAGUGAAGAAGGGUUUCGGCUCGUAAAGCUCUGUUGUUGGAGAAGAACGUGCGUGAGAGUAACUGUUCACGCAGUGACGGUAUCCAACCAGAAAGUCACGGCUAACUACGUGCCAGCAGCCGCAAGUAAUCUGAGGCCGGGCGUGGACGAAGGC